Exaiptasia diaphana is the source of this 705-nucleotide long non-coding RNA. RefSeq lists it as uncharacterized. NCBI's taxonomy places the organism in Eukaryota, Metazoa, Cnidaria, Anthozoa, Actiniaria, Aiptasiidae. The transcript is spliced from 5 exons. The record is from RefSeq and is a predicted model, not a curated record.
UGUUUUUGGUGGACAGUAUAAAAGCCUUAAUGUCACAAUGACACUGCCCACUUGCCGUUUUGAAAAUGCCUGGACUGAACGCAGAAUUCACAGUAAGAAAUCAUUUUGUGUACUGUUCUGCCCGUUUUUUUAUAUCAAUCGCAAAUCUAAUAUAUAUUUAUUCAUUUAUAGAUACACGUUGCAGACGCUCAAAUACAUAACAUGCUGUCCCAGUUGAAAUCAUUUUUAACUGAACAAAUGGCCGGUUACGACCAAACUUAUCCAUACUCGCCGAGUUUCGUUAGAUGGGGAGUUAUUAUCGAACGGACGAUUCGUUUUGGGACUCAUGUCCUAUKKCAUAAUCUAUACUUUAUCAAUGACUCUUUUCAUCAAGUCCAAGAUUUACAAUCAGAUUGAUCUGUGGAAAUGCCCUUUUUACACACAAAAUUAUGACUGUGAAUCCAGUAAACGCACUGUACUCAAGUAAUCCAAUUCAAUGGUACGGCCAGUGUGAUGCUCUCCCAUCCAGGAAAACGCUUUUACAGCUAUUUCAAACAAAUUUUAAUUUAAAAGCCUAUUUUUCCGCGGUAUCUCAGGGACAUAAUAUUAUAGGUAUUGCCUAACUGUAUCCAAAGUUUGGUCUCUGGUCGACGAAAUUCCUGGAGUACGGUGGCCCACAACUAUCACGGCAAAAAUCAAAACUUCACGGCAAAAAGCAAAACUUCA